CACACACACACGUUUCCAUAGCGAGAGGUUCCACUUUGCAUUAUGAGCUCAUGCUUCAGUGCUCUGUGAGUGUUUAUAGCCCUGUGACUUUAACACUUCAUGACUGAGAGCUGCUGCUCAGCGACUUCACCCACAGAAACCAUGAGUUUGAUCAGCGUCUUCAUCUGCACACUGCUCCUCUGUGCUCAAGGAUCCCAAAGUCAGGCCAUUGUGACUCAGAGUCCUGCAGUGAAAUCUGUUUCUCCAGGAGACACAAUCACCAUCAGCUGUAAAACCAAUGAACUGAUUUCACUCUGACCAUCAGUGGAGUUCAGACUGAAGAUACUGGAGAUUAUUACUGUCUAACUGAUCAUUACAACACAUUUAAAACUUCAAGGUUCACACAGUGUUAG
This is a non-coding RNA of Tachysurus vachellii, 392 nucleotides long. Lineage: Eukaryota; Metazoa; Chordata; Actinopteri; Siluriformes; Bagridae. The record is from the annotation of a RefSeq genome assembly.